CUUUUCUUCAGUUGGUAAGCUAUAUCCAAUUGCAUUCCAUGACAGGUUCUCCGAGUUUUCGUUAGUCUGGAGGGAAGAAAAAGAAACACCGCCAUGUAGAGAAGAAUUUCUGCUGAAGAAUAAUUAUAUACAGAAAAAGACUCCGCUAAUUAAGAGUUUUAGCUGCAAUUCUUCAGUUACUGCAGUCGAUCAUAAAUAAGACGACGAAACCAGUUAGUUUGCGUUCGCUGAUUGCAUUCUUGAACCCUGACUUGGUCAAUGUUUUAUUGAGAAGGCAUAUGAAAGAAGGGAGGAACUUCAGAAGAUAAUAUCAUUCCUAGAACAUAGAAGAAAAGACAAAAUAACACAACUUCAAAGUCCAAGGUCAAAUGAGCCGGCAUUUUAAUUUCAAAGACUAACAGAGCUCUUUCUUCAGAAGGAAAAACAAAGUUAAAGGAGCUCUAGGAAGUUUACCAUUGAAUAAAAGAUGUGGAGGGAGAAGACCUUGACCAUCACAAAAACUAUCCUCAGAGGAAUAAAAAAAUUUUCCUUGUUCCAUCUCUUAAGAACCUCUUCCCUCUUCUCCACAGGCAUGUCCGAGAACUUGUUGAUGAAUGGGAAUCCCCCACGGAGGCUCAGGAACCCACAGAGGACGAGCGUGCCCAGCUUGGUAGCAAGGAGCCAUAGAACCAAUUUGACCAAAAGAACAGCCUCUCUCAGGCCUCUCUUGACCAAUAACUCUGCAACCUGUUUUUUUUUUUUUU
Phoenix dactylifera (date palm) is the source of this 743-nucleotide long non-coding RNA. RefSeq lists it as uncharacterized. The record is from RefSeq and is a predicted model, not a curated record. NCBI's taxonomy places the organism in Eukaryota, Viridiplantae, Streptophyta, Magnoliopsida, Arecales, Arecaceae.